Molecule: transfer RNA, 73 nt
Filed under: Dipodomys ordii (Ord's kangaroo rat)
Lineage: Eukaryota; Metazoa; Chordata; Mammalia; Rodentia; Heteromyidae
Rfam family: tRNA
About the family: Transfer RNA (tRNA) molecules are approximately 80 nucleotides in length. Their secondary structure includes four short double-helical elements and three loops (D, anti-codon, and T loops).
Source: Rfam by way of RNAcentral
GGAAAUAUGGCUCAAAUGGUGCAGCAUCUGCCUUGGAAGUAUAAGUACUUUAGUUCAAAUCUCAGUAUCACCA